CUAAACCGGGAUUUACAGCUGUGGAUGUGUUCAUGACUCGUUAUUACGACGGAUCUGGUCAUGAUGAGCAUCUGAUCGUCUUCAGAGACACAAAGAUCUCAGUGUUGAGCUGUUCAUCUGCAGUCUGUCAGAGAAGAGAGGAAAGAUGAGUCUCUCACACAAACAGAGGGAUAACGAGAGCUUGUGGAGAGAACUGGACUCAUUGAAACAGAAAUAUCAGCAGCAGCACACAAUCA
This is a long non-coding RNA of Carassius auratus (goldfish), 236 nucleotides long. RefSeq lists it as uncharacterized. The transcript has 3 exons. NCBI's taxonomy places the organism in Eukaryota, Metazoa, Chordata, Actinopteri, Cypriniformes, Cyprinidae. The record is from RefSeq and is a predicted model, not a curated record.